AAUAAGGAAAACAGCGUUCAGGUGUGUUCACAGACCCUGUCCAUGACUAAAAGGUUACUAAUAAAAAGCCAACUCCACAAAACCAGAGAAUGGAGUGACCUAUGUUUUGGUAAAUAAAACGGUUGCUUUCAAAGAGAGAAAAAAGAUUACUACCAUAGAAACCUUUCCAAGCACGUUCAGAGGAGUCCAAAAGCUGCAAAUGCCUGACAUCUUCAGAGCCACAACAGGGCUCCUAAUGACAGGAUAUAAAAGCACGCUUUGAGGCCAAAUGAAGAGAUUUGUUUUAUUUAAUGCUAUGCUUUUUCAGAGGUGCUAAGCAAAAGAAACUAAGGACCUUCCAUCCAGGACACCAGGCUGCAAGCCUCUAGCUGGAGGACAAGCCUCUGGCUCCGAGGCUGAGAGCAACAGAGGAAGGACAGAAGCCAUUUUCAGCAUCUCCUUUCCAAGAUGUGACCCCAGCAUGAAACCUGGAGUCCCAAGUCCUUGGAGAGCUACCGCUGAAGGUUAGAAUGGAGCACCCUUUCCAGACUCGGGGCAGCCUCUUCUGCCCACGUACUGAACUCAAGCUCAAGACUCGAGGUUAACUGUGCUGUCUGCAGAUUCCUUGAACUUGGAGAAGACAUUACAGAUCCAGAAGUCCCGUGAUCAGAAGCACACAUGUGCCGCAGCACUAAAUGACACGUUUAGGAGGGAAAGAGUCUCAUUAAAAGCCAUCCACUAAAGGCACUGUUUGAGGCGAAAGGUAUGAGCCACGCUAGGUCUAGCAAGCCUGAACUCUUUCCAAACAAAGUUUUACACAUUAUUUGAGCUGGCAUUUGAUAUCUUUGGGGAAUGGUGCUAUUUGCCUUAGUACAGUGGGAACGUUACCUAGUAAAUGGCAUUGAGAAUCCAAGUGUUAUAAAACCUGAGCUAAAAGGAUUUCCAUUCAUCAAGCUGUUUGACUCCCAAAAGCAGCGAUCCUCGACCGCUCCCCAGGUCUCUGACAUGCAACCCAGAAAUGGACAAAAUGACGUACACUCUUCCCAGACCUCCCCCGCACACCUGAUCACGGAUGCCUUAAAGAGCCUAAUGGAAUUUUCAGAAAGUCAAGACCACGGACUAAUAGGGGGGAACACACCCAUUCAAACUAACCAUUCUAGUUGUUUAAAAAAAAAAUCAGAGAAAAAAAAAAGAAAGAAAGAAACAGGACCCCAUCUGCCUAGUGAGGGCUUGUAAAUCAAUGCCAAUGGCUGGAAAAUGAUUUCUCAAACUUAUAUUCUCAUUUUGUCCCGCUCGAAUCUCUGCAGGAAAAUCAAUAUUACAACUUCACACUUAAGACAUUUUGCAGCAGCACCGCGAACUGCUGCGGCAGCGGACGGAAGCCCACGGAAGCCCACGGAAGCCUGUCCGGCAGUAGAGGAGGCACCGAGCCGUGGCACGGGCAUCGAGCUCCCCCUAGCUGCCAAGUGGCACCAGGCGGGGCUCGGCGUUCCAGGCUUGCUAUCAACCAAAAGCCAGUUCAACUGAAAGUUUAUUUUGGAGAAGUAUUUUAUCACAACAAGCAACAGAGAAUGCAAAGCGGUCGAGAAAGGAGAUGAAAAGGAAAAAAGGGAAGGCUGGUGCAAGACGUGCUCGAAGCAAAAACGUCAAGAGCUGGAUCUUGAGAAGACGCUAGAAACCGGGGCGCUCCACAGCAGCAGUCGGCAGCUGCUCUCUGUAAAUGAACUCUUCCGCGUGCCUCCAUCUCACCUGAGACCUAACGCUAAUCACCGUCAGAUGCACCUAGAGCUGGCCUUCUCUGUAGUCAGCAAGCCCCAUGUGGUCCUGCACGGUGGUCAGCCAAGUGUCACACCCCGGCCAUCUGACCUCCCUCCAUGUUCCUGAGGCCGGCUUCACCGAAGCCACUUGCAUUCACUCUGGCACUUGAGAAAGGACUCGUUUUCUGUUACGAAAUAUCGGGAAGGCCAGACAAAAAUCGCCAAGGCCGAAGUCCGGGCAGAUAGCAACCUCCCACCCUUAAAGAAAGAAAUAGGCAUUAUGUACAUAAUAGUCAGGGAGGGGAAGAAUACCCUUUAAAAAUAUUAAGCGUUGUUAAAAUACGCUCA
This is a long non-coding RNA of Suricata suricatta (meerkat), 2084 nucleotides long. RefSeq lists it as uncharacterized. The transcript has 3 exons. The record is from RefSeq and is a predicted model, not a curated record. Lineage: Eukaryota; Metazoa; Chordata; Mammalia; Carnivora; Herpestidae.